Molecule: long non-coding RNA, 968 nt
Organism: Brassica rapa (field mustard)
Lineage: Eukaryota; Viridiplantae; Streptophyta; Magnoliopsida; Brassicales; Brassicaceae
Source: RefSeq, a predicted model, not a curated record
UUUAUAAGAACUUCAAAUUUGUAAAAUUAUAAUUGAAAAGCAUAAAAAUUAAUUUUUAUUUUCUUUUUUUAUUUAUUUAUUAUACAUAUAUAUAAAAAAAGAGUAUAAAAGUCUUUUGCCACUUAAUAAAGAAUGUAUUUUUGAAAAUGUCUCUUUAGUGGUGGUAAACAUUAAUAAUGGUACCAAGAAAGUGGUAAACAUAAAAAUUUUGUAUGAAAAUUUCUAAAGUAAUUCAUAUUUAUAACCUAAACAAAUCCGCGCUUUCAAAGCGCGGAUCAAAAUCUAGUACACCAUUAAAAUAAGUAAUCCAAACUCUAGAUCAUGAUGCGAACUGAUUAACCCAUUGGAUUUUUUAAAGACUUUUGAGUCUUUUUAUAGUAAAUAGUAAUACUUAACUUUCUUAUAAAAUAACUCCAUUAAAUAGCGAUGUUUUUAAGGGGAAUUGCAUCCUACAUCCAUCAAACAAAUUAUAAUUCAUCCACUAACUAAACGUAACUAAAUUUCUUUCAAUACUUCACCAAAAAAACAAUCAAUUCUAAAGAAGAGACAACGAUGAAGUCAUAGACGAUCCAGUGGUGAAGAACAGACAGCGAUGAAAGCGUAGACGAUCUAGUGGUGAAGAACAACGACGGUGAAUCGGUUAAAACAUCGUGUCGGAAAAAAGAGAGGAGAUAAAGAUGAUCUCUGUAUAUGGUGGUGAACGAAAUGAAUAUGUAUCAGCCUAUCUAAAAGAAAAGAAGAAUUGAAGAAGAUGAAUUCGCCGUCUAUACUAUAUUUGGUGAAAUUAAUAGUAUAGUAUAUAUUUUUAAGUAUAGCUACUUAUGUACAGUUACCAUACUAUUUGAGACAUAUUUCUAUACUACUCCUUAAAAAUGUAAUAAUAUGUCAUGUUUUUAAAUUUGAUAGGUCUCUUCUUUGUCAAUAUGUGUGAUUGAUUGUAAUAUGAAAUUCAUUUUUCCGUGUUGACA